CAGCCGCCGCGGGAAUACGGAGGGAGCUAGCGUUGUUCGGAAUCACUGGGCGUAAAGCGCACGUAGGCGGCUAUUCAAGUCAGGGGUGAAAGCCCGGGGCUCAACCCCGGAACUGCCUUUGAAACUAGAUAGCUUGAAUCUUGGAGAGGCGAGUGGAAUUCCGAGUGUAGAGGUGAAAUUCGUAGAUAUUCGGAAGAACACCAGUGGCGAAGGCGACUCGCUGGACAAGUAUUGACGCUGAGGUGCGAAAGCGUGGGGAGCAAACAGGAUUAGAUACCCCUGUAGUCCCUGUCUCUUAUAA
RNAcentral lists this ribosomal RNA (301 nucleotides) under uncultured bacterium. RNAcentral's name for it is "partial 16S ribosomal RNA". It matches the Rfam family "Bacterial small subunit ribosomal RNA", at positions 509 to 809 of the family's 1533-position model. The record is from RNAcentral.